UUAAAAUUUUUUGUCGAAAUAACAAAUAAUAUCAAAUAGAGUUAUAUAAAUAAAUUUGGGAAUGAAAUCAGAAUGAAAUUAGAGCAACCGUCAGCUUCGCGUUUCGUCCCAAGCGGAGCAUGUACUGGGACCUAGUUACCUGAGCGUGGUUACUAAGUUCAUGCAAAAUGGCGGAAGUAGAGUCUCACAUACCGGCUUUUUAUUUUAUCAAGGCUCUCACUCUUUGGUAAACUUCGCCAAGAAGCUUUCCCCAGGCCCCAAGGCCAGAUUCAAAAGUGAUUGGCUCCACCCCUCAAGUAAGUGUGAAAUCUGUCUGCAAGUCAAAUAACAAGUUUUCGUGACUGAAAUGUCAAAAGCAAUGUAUCAAAAACAUGACCCGAUCACUCCAUGACAUCUUUAUGGGCAUGUCAGGAAAUAGCUAAUGCUAUUCUGUGUAUUUAAACGAGUUAAGGUGUACAGAGUAACAAGGCCUUCACAGGCAGCUGAUAAAGAUAUCUCUUUCAAAGUCGCUCUCGAAGGUGAACACAAACUUGUUUUUUGCUUCAAUUCAGAGCCCAAUUAUUUGCUCACUCAAUUGUGACAUGGGGUGACCAGAAUACAGCUUCUUAUUGAAUGUAAAAUUUCCACAACAUUCACCAACCAGCAAAUUUAUCUGCCACAUGAGAAAGUUUGGCUGACCCAACAGGAGCAUAGUGUGCAUAUUUUCUGCUAAUCUUUCCAGGGAUGGUGCAAGGAAUUUAUGCCAAAUCUCUAACUACAGCGUAGUGAAAUCCCCACUAUCUGGGGUUUUGGGGGUCAGGAUUACAAUUGACUAGCACGUAAGUCCCUCCAUUGCUCCACUGGGUAUUUUUGUCAGCUCAUGGGUGGGGCAUUGUCCAAGGCCAUUCUAUCUUUUAGCAUUUUUUUUUUUUAAUAUGUGCAUCCUUUGUCAUUUAAUGGGUAAACCACUGGGUAUUUGCACAAAUAUUUGCAACAAGAGCCAUGACUAAAUUAUGCCAAUCGUAAUUAUUUUGUUUUCAUCAUCAUCAUCAUCAUCAUCAUUAUCAUUGUUAUUAUUAUAACUAUUAUUAUUAUUAUUAUUAUUAUUAUUAUUAUUAUUAUUAUUAUUAUUAUUAUUAUUGUGUUUGCAUCAAUGGAGAUACACAGGCAAUGUAAGUUUUGAUCUGGUGAGCAAUUUAAUUUACAUAUUUACAAUCAUAUGAACAUGUUUCCGUAAUUUAAACUUCCGCAGGUUCUUUAACCCAAAAUUCCAAAAUACAAUGCCUCCAAGAGUGGUGAAAACUUGUCAUUACAGAUAUCUAAAAGGGAGUGAGGAUGAGCCCCUUUUCAGAAAUAACAACACUUACUGAUCUUAACCAGCCUGCUGGUUGCAACUUCAUUUUGGCAUAAUUACAACUACAACUGAUUUAAAAACACUUCAGUCCUGAAUGUUACUUCACAAAUUUUAAUCAUUGAUUUUCCACUCAAAACUUGAUUUUAAGGGGUUGAUACACAUUUCAACAUCCCAUAUCAGAUAUUAGCAAGAACAACAAAUUAGAUUCUACAAUUUAGCUUUCAAGCUGCAUACUGUAUGUACAAUGUCAUUUACUUAUUAAUUACUGGUAUUCGAGCUCACAUAAUUAACUUUUUUCAUGAGGAUUUUAUCCAAGUAUACAUUUAAAAGUAACUUAUAUACAAUAGAAUGUACAGUAGGUGACUCUCUCUCUUGGUCUGACAAAAAGGCUUAGAGUCUUAUCUACUGAAUACACUCACUUCCUAGUGAUAUUUCACGUGCAUUGCACACAUAUAUCCACAUUAUUAGGACCUUUAAUGAGGCAGUAUCCCAGGGGAGGCCCUCCUAUGAAAACAUCAGGAGAGUCAGUGCUAUGUGUUGAUUGGUACUGCACGAGUGUAAACCUUACUCAUGGCUAUACCUUUCAGGGAAAUAUUGACCUUAAAAAAACACACCUGCUUUUAAUAGGGUUUUUCAGUUGCAUCCAUUGUACAGUACAGUUUAGAAACUUUAUCAGAACAUACCACUAGAGCAACGAAACUGCAUUAGAAAUUUCAAUAUGAAGCAGUUUUCUUGUGAUCUGAAAAAAUCAUAACAAGGUUUGUGGACUAAGUGUCUUGAAAGCGUUACUGUGAUUAUUAUUUUAAUUCUUAACAGUUAGUGAACAGUUGCUCCACUUAAGCUUGCACAAUCUAGAUUGACACCGUGCCAGAAAAAAUUUAGCA
Orbicella faveolata is the source of this 2217-nucleotide long non-coding RNA. NCBI's taxonomy places the organism in Eukaryota, Metazoa, Cnidaria, Anthozoa, Scleractinia, Merulinidae. The record is from RefSeq and is a predicted model, not a curated record.